Molecule: long non-coding RNA, 278 nt
Organism: Phacochoerus africanus (Common warthog)
Lineage: Eukaryota; Metazoa; Chordata; Mammalia; Artiodactyla; Suidae
Exons: 3
Source: RefSeq, a predicted model, not a curated record
UUGAUUGAGCAUAUGCUUCAAGUUCUCAAUCUCCUCAUUGUCUGUUUUAACACUUUUUAAACUGGGAAGAAGUUGCUUUGUUACCAUGUCUGCCUGGCACCGAAUUACCACCCAACAUCUACUAAAAAAAUAAACUGAGACUCAGCUUCAAUGUCAACUUAGGAAGUCUUUCAUAGAAUCCCUAAGAUGAGUGCUGAUGAAACAUAAGGAAAAGCUCUAGUUGAUAAGCUCCUGAGAUUAGGUACAGAGGAUUUUUAUAUUCCUUGGGAUGGAAGAGG